UCAGAUUGAACGCUGGCGGCAUGCCUUACACAUGCAAGUCGAACGGCAGCACGGGGGCAACCCUGGUGGCGAGUGGCGAACGGGUGAGUAACAUAUCGGAACGUGCCCUGGAGUGGGGGAUAACUAGUCGAAAGAUUAGCUAAUACCGCAUACGAUCUACGGAUGAAAGUGGGGGAUCGCAAGACCUCAUGCUCGUGGAGCGGCCGAUAUCUGAUUAGCUAGUUGGUGGGGUAAAGGCCUACCAAGGCAUCGAUCAGUAGCUGGUCUGAGAGGACGACCAGCCACACUGGGACUGAGACACGGCCCAGACUCCUACGGGAGGCAGCAGUGGGGAAUUUUGGACAAUGGGCGCAAGCCUGAUCCAGCAAUGCCGCGUGAGUGAAGAAGGCCUUCGGGUUGUAAAGCUCUUUUGUCAGGGAAGAAACGGUGGAGGUUAAUANCUUCUGCUAAUGACGNUANCUGAAGAAUAAGCAUCGGCUAACUACGUGCCAGCAGCCGCGGUAAUACGUAGGGUGCAAGCGUUAAUCGGAAUUACUGGGCGUAAAGCGUGCGCAGGCGGUUGUGCAAGACAGAUGUGAAAUCCNCNGGGCUCAACCUGG
Molecule: ribosomal RNA, 599 nt
Filed under: bacterium enrichment culture clone F61x_D62_T3_F08
Lineage: Bacteria
Description: bacterial SSU rRNA
Rfam family: Bacterial small subunit ribosomal RNA
Source: RNAcentral